GUUUGUGACCGGGAUGCAGCCUUCUCUUCUGUAUCAUCCAUUCACCCUCCCUGGGCUUCCCUGGAAUGGUCAACGGAAGUUCCACAUAUGGCCUGCCACAAUCUGUUAUGAGAAUAACAGAGGAUUCAGUAGAAACAGCUCCCACACCUUAAGAAAGGGAGCCAGAGACCGAGUGGUAUCUAAUGCAAAUCUAUUCUAAGAAGGCUGUGGGGGCCAUCUGGUGUCCGAUGCAGACAGGGCCUGCUGCGAGAUGAAUUGGGAGGACAAGGGACUGGGUGAGAGCGAGUGACGGGAGGUGAGAGGCUGACUCCUUUUUAUCCAUGUCAAAACACAGCCCAUCAGGAGGAUAAGAAGAGAAAUCACCUUAUGUUGUGGGAAGCAGAUCAAAGCAGAAAAGAUAACGUCUCCAAAAGAAAAGGGGGAACAGAAAGCCGUGUUGUUGAACAAAGACGGGAGAGAAACAGGCUUGGGUCACUGGAUACCAAGCUGGACUCAAUGGCUGUCUGGGUGGCCUCCUUCAAAGAAAAGGCAAAUCCUUCCACCAGUUGUUCCGGCUUCAGACACGCAUAGACACUAACCCUUCCCGCGCGGCAUCUCUCUGGGUUUUUUGUUUCCUGAAAAAUAUAGUCCCUAUCACUGGCUUUCUAUGCAGAGCUAAAAUAAUUCAUCAAAUAUUUGGAAUGUGUAAUUAAA
RNAcentral lists this long non-coding RNA (693 nucleotides) under Homo sapiens (human). Its description in RNAcentral is "HSALNT0258245". The record is from RNAcentral. Lineage: Eukaryota; Metazoa; Chordata; Mammalia; Primates; Hominidae.